This 526-nucleotide ribosomal RNA is filed under the name uncultured eukaryote. RNAcentral's name for it is "bacterial SSU rRNA". It matches the Rfam family "Eukaryotic small subunit ribosomal RNA", at positions 24 to 549 of the family's 1831-position model. The record is from RNAcentral.
CAAUCAUAUGCUCAUCUCAAAGAUUAAGCCAUGCAUGUCUAAGUAUAAGUGAUUAUACAACGAAACUGCGGAUGGCUCAUUAUAUCAGUAAUAAUCUACUUAGUGAAUCAUUUAUUCGGAUAACUGUAGGAAUUCUAGAGCUAAUACGUGCAAAAAGCUUGGAUGGGGGGCAACCUCCAGAAAAGUGUAUUUAUAAGUACAGAGAUCAAUGGGUUUACCCUUAAUGGUGAUUUAUUAUAAGUUUACAGACCGAGAGCUUAAGUCUUCGGCAACGUAAGCGAGUUUCUGCCCUAUCAACUUUCGAUUGUAGUGUAGUGGACUACAAUGGUUAUAACGGGUACGGGGAAUUAGGGUUCGAUUCCGGAGAGGCGGCCUGAGAAACGGCCGCCACUUCCAAGGAAGGCAGCAGGCGCGUAAAUUAUCCAAUCCCAAUUCGGGGAGAUAGUGACAAGAAAUACUGAUGUAGGGACUUAAGGUUCCUACUAUCGGAAUGAGAACAAUGUAAAAACCUUAUCAAGGAACUAUU